CCUACGGGAGGCAGCAGUGAGGAAUAUUGGUCAAUGGCCGGAAGGCUGAACCAGCCAUGCCGCGUGAAGGUCAGUGCCCUAUGGGCGUUAAACUUCUUUUGUGCGGGAGCAAUAAUGGUCACGUGUGGCCAGACGAGAGUACCGUACGAAUAAGCAUCGGCGAACUCCGUGCCAGCAGCCGCGGUCAUACGGGGGCUGCAAGCGUUAUCCAGAUUUAGUGGGUUUAAAGGGUGCGUAAGCUGGGAGGUAAGUCAGCGGUGAAAUGCCCCCGCGCAACGGGGUGAAGUGCCAUUGAUACUGGCUUGCUGGAAUGCGGAUGCCGUGAGAGGAAUGUGUGGUGUAGCGGUGAAAUGCAUAGAUAUCACACAGAACACCGAUUGCGAAGGCAUCUCACGAGUCCGCGAUUGACGCUGAUGCACGAAAGCGUGGGUAUCAAACAGGAUUAGAUACCCGAGUAGUC
Molecule: ribosomal RNA, 460 nt
Filed under: uncultured bacterium
Lineage: Bacteria
Description: partial 16S ribosomal RNA
Rfam family: Bacterial small subunit ribosomal RNA
Source: RNAcentral